AUUGAUGAAAUAACAACUGUCUCUAUUUUAUUUAAUGAAUUUAAAUUUUUAGUAAAAAUUCUGAAAUUUAAUUAUGGGACGAUAAGACCCUAUAGAAUUUUAUUUAAUAUAAUUAUUUAUUUAAAUUAUUUGUGAAUAUAUAAUUAAUUUAAAUUUGAUUGGGAGGAUUGGUAAAUAAAAAUAACUUUAUCUAAAAAUUAAUUUUGAUGAAAAGAUUUUUUUGACUUAUAAUUUAUGAUUAAAAGAAUAAAUUACCUUAGGGAUAACAGCGUAAUAUCUUUUGAUAGACCACAUUGAUAAAGAUGUUUGCGACCUCGAUGUUG
This 323-nucleotide ribosomal RNA is filed under the name Apis cerana (Asiatic honeybee). RNAcentral's name for it is "partial 16S large subunit ribosomal RNA". Lineage: Eukaryota; Metazoa; Arthropoda; Insecta; Hymenoptera; Apidae. The record is from RNAcentral.